RNAcentral lists this transfer RNA (88 nucleotides) under Chloroflexota bacterium. RNAcentral describes it as "Chloroflexi bacterium tRNA-Leu". It matches the Rfam family "tRNA". Rfam says of the family: Transfer RNA (tRNA) molecules are approximately 80 nucleotides in length. Their secondary structure includes four short double-helical elements and three loops (D, anti-codon, and T loops). Further hydrogen bonds mediate the characteristic L-shaped molecular structure. tRNAs have two regions of fundamental functional importance: the anti-codon, which is responsible for specific mRNA codon recognition, and the 3' end, to which the tRNAs corresponding amino acid is attached (by aminoacyl-tRNA synthetases). tRNAs cope with the degeneracy of the genetic code in two manners: having more than one tRNA (with a specific anti-codon) for a particular amino acid; and 'wobble' base-pairing, i.e. permitting non-standard base-pairing at the 3rd anti-codon position. The record is from RNAcentral. Lineage: Bacteria; Bacillati; Chloroflexota.
GCCGGAGUGAUGAAAUGGCAGACAUUACGGACUCAAAAUCCGUUGGGCCGAAAGGUCCGUGAGGGUUCGAAUCCCUCCUCCGGCACCG